RNAcentral lists this ribosomal RNA (468 nucleotides) under uncultured bacterium. Its description in RNAcentral is "partial 16S ribosomal RNA". It matches the Rfam family "Bacterial small subunit ribosomal RNA", at positions 28 to 507 of the family's 1533-position model. The record is from RNAcentral.
GACGAACGCUGGCGGCGUGCUUAACACAUGCAAGUCGAACGGAAAGGCCCUGCUUUUGUGGGGUGCUCGAGUGGCGAACGGGUGAGUAACACGUGAGUAACCUGCCCUUGACUUUGGGAUAACUUCAGGAAACUGGGGCUAAUACCGGAGAGGAGCUCCUGCUGCAUGGUGGGGGUUGGAAAGUUUCGGCGGUUGGGGAUGGACUCGCGGCUUAUCAGCUUGUUGGUGGGGUAGUGGCUUACCAAGGCUUUGACGGGUAGCCGGCCUGAGAGGGUGACCGGCCACAUUGGGACUGCGAUACGGCCCAGACUCCUACGGGAGGCAGCAGUGGGGAAUAUUGCACAAUGGGCGGAAGCCUGAUGCAGCAGCGCCGCGUGCGGGAUGACGGCCUUCGGGUUGUAAACCGCUUUCGCCGGUGACGAAGCGUGAGUGACGGUAAUGGGUAAGGAAGCACCGGCUAACUACGUG